This 20-nucleotide unclassified non-coding RNA is filed under the name Mus musculus (house mouse). RNAcentral's name for it is "oocyte_clustered_small_RNA2395". Lineage: Eukaryota; Metazoa; Chordata; Mammalia; Rodentia; Muridae. The record is from RNAcentral.
AGCGUGACCACCCACGUCUC